UCCCUGAUGGCCUAUUGGUUAAGACUCAGCACUUUCACUGCUGCAGCUCAAGUUCAAUUCCUAGUCUGGGAA
This 72-nucleotide transfer RNA is filed under the name Sus scrofa (pig). It matches the Rfam family "tRNA". Rfam says of the family: Transfer RNA (tRNA) molecules are approximately 80 nucleotides in length. Their secondary structure includes four short double-helical elements and three loops (D, anti-codon, and T loops). The record is from Rfam by way of RNAcentral. Lineage: Eukaryota; Metazoa; Chordata; Mammalia; Artiodactyla; Suidae.